Pezoporus occidentalis (night parrot) is the source of this 303-nucleotide long non-coding RNA. RefSeq lists it as uncharacterized. Lineage: Eukaryota; Metazoa; Chordata; Aves; Psittaciformes; Psittacidae. The transcript has 2 exons. The record is from RefSeq and is a predicted model, not a curated record.
AUCGGAUGUGAUUUUGGCUUUGUUUUCAUCCAAGCCACACAGAACUCGUGCUUGAGGGACCAAGUACCUCUGAAAGAAACAAUGCCCCACAUCCUUCCCUUAGUUGUCUGACAAAAGCCUGAUGGUUCCAAUUCACCACUUCAUUAUGCCCAAUGCCAUUUGCUGGAAUCCACAGCCCAUGGAACACUGGAGUUCCUUUAACUGGGUGUUCAAAUCAGAGGAACUCUGUCCAAAAUGCCCCAUGUCUGGCCUGAAUGUGAAUUAUCAGAUGUGAUUAAACAGUGCAUCAGUGGCUUCUCUUAC